This is a long non-coding RNA of Carassius carassius (crucian carp), 549 nucleotides long. RefSeq lists it as uncharacterized. NCBI's taxonomy places the organism in Eukaryota, Metazoa, Chordata, Actinopteri, Cypriniformes, Cyprinidae. The record is from RefSeq and is a predicted model, not a curated record. The transcript is spliced from 2 exons.
ACAUCUGUGAGGCUACAGUUGUGCAGCAGAAUCCUUUAGCUGUUACUUGGUAAGUGAUUUUUAAUUACAGCAAAUGUUCUAUUUUUGUCUGCCCCUUUUAUUGCACGUUCAAGUCCUAUUAUGUCUUGAAUGAUCGACACGGGGGGGCUAUAUGAAAUCUCUCAAAAACCUGAAGUAUUGGUUUAAUAUUCCUUGCUUCGGAUCCUGUCGGGAGAAACAUAUUUUUUUGUAAUCGUUAGCCUUUCUAAUUGUUUUAAGGUACUUGCUAAUCAGUCUAAAUUUGUAUUUUGCAGCUAAUGGCGGAGAAUGUAAGAACUACAGUCAUUAGAUUCCAUUGAUGGCUUCAUCUUGGGGCACAUGUAUUCGAUGACUGACUGGUUGCUUGUUCCUCAGUUGUGCUACAACUUGAGUAGAGCUAAUUUUGCUAAGUUUUGAAGAACAUCUUAAAUGAGUGGUUAUGUUUGUUGUAAACAUGUUUCUGCAUCGUAUAAGUGUUUUGGUUAUGUAUUGAUUGGAACCAAUAAAGAUGCUUGCCUGUAGUGACUCUGA